RNAcentral lists this ribosomal RNA (478 nucleotides) under uncultured bacterium. Its description in RNAcentral is "partial 16S ribosomal RNA". It matches the Rfam family "Bacterial small subunit ribosomal RNA", at positions 28 to 523 of the family's 1533-position model. The record is from RNAcentral.
GACGAACGCUGGCGGCGUGCUUAACACAUGCAAGUCGAACGGUAAAGCCCUUCGGGGUACACGAGUGGCGAACGGGUGAGUAACACGUGGGUGAUCUGCCCUGCACUUCGGGAUAAGCCUGGGAAACUGGGUCUAAUACCGGAUAGGACCACUGCCUGCAGGGGUGGUGGUGGAAAGCUUUUGCGGUGUGGGAUGGGCCCGCGGCCUAUCAGCUUGUUGGUGGGGUGAUGGCCUACCAAGGCGACGACGGGUAGCCGGCCUGAGAGGGUGACCGGCCACACUGGGACUGAGGUACGGCCCAGACUCCUACGGGAGGCAGCAGUGGGGAAUAUUGCACAAUGGGGGCAAGCCUGAUGCAGCGACGCCGCGUGAGGGAUGACGGCCUUCGGGUUGUAAACCUCUUUCAGCACCGACGAAGCGCAAGUGACGGUAGGUGCAGAAGAAGGACCGGCCAACUACGUGCCAGCAGCCGCGGUAA